AUAGAUUUCACUUAAAAAUAUAGACGAACUUUUUUCCUUCUGAAAGGUCCCGGAUUAAAUAUUGACUUUAGGCCACCAAUCUUCUUGGACCGCCCCUGCUGUGAGUAUCUCUGCAAUGAACUCAUAAGAGCUUCCUGUAACCACACUAUAUCCAUAUACAGAAGCAGCAAGCUUUUUCCUAUCUUGCGUUGGAAUACAAACAAUGAUGAGUCUGCUUACUACAUUUGAAACCAAGAUGGAGUAGAUACACAUUAAACCUGUCAAACCAGGCCCUAGGUUCCUGCUUAAAAUCAUACAAUGCCCUUUUUAGAAGGCAUUUGAAUCAACGAAACCUGAGGACUAAGAGCCUGUUUGGUUUAGCUGAUUUAGAAUAGCGGAUAAGUAUUGGGUAUUGAAAAGCACUUAACUGUUGAAACUAAUUUAAAAAAUAAGCAGUUACAUGUUUGGAUAAAAGUGCUGAAGAAUUGGGUAUAUGAAGAGUUUUAUUUAAAAAAAAUUAUUUUAGGGAUAGAAUAAUAAAUAUUUUGGUCAAACCUCAAGUGCUUAUAAGCUGAAAUUUGAUAAGUUAGGGUAGACCAAUUAUGACUUUUGGCUUAGUUUUGGUUUAGAAGCCCUUAACUUCUAAGCACGUUUAAUUUUACCAAACGCAUAGAUAAGCCAAAAAGUAGUUAUAAGCCAGUUUGACCGACUUAUAAGCUUAGCCAAACACCUUUUAGAUCAUGUAGACUUGCUCCUACAAGUUAUCUGAUAGGCCAGUGUGAAGUGAUUGCAACCGAG
This 777-nucleotide long non-coding RNA is filed under the name Nicotiana benthamiana. RNAcentral describes it as "long non-coding RNA (NBEN_LNC034250)". The record is from RNAcentral. Lineage: Eukaryota; Viridiplantae; Streptophyta; Magnoliopsida; Solanales; Solanaceae.